AAGAGACGAGUGUGUCAAACUAGCCAAGGAGACUGCCUGAAGCCGUGUAAAUGGCCAUCGACACCAUUUAUACAUAUAUUCGACUAAGACCACUUUGCUAUGGAGCAGGCAAGUCAUCCUUGGCUACCAAACAAUACUCAUAUCC
RNAcentral lists this microRNA precursor (145 nucleotides) under Olea europaea subsp. europaea. Lineage: Eukaryota; Viridiplantae; Streptophyta; Magnoliopsida; Lamiales; Oleaceae. The record is from RNAcentral.